RNAcentral lists this ribosomal RNA (253 nucleotides) under uncultured bacterium. RNAcentral describes it as "partial 16S ribosomal RNA". It matches the Rfam family "Bacterial small subunit ribosomal RNA", at positions 524 to 776 of the family's 1533-position model. The record is from RNAcentral.
GACGAACCGUGCGAACGUUGUUCGGAUUCACUGGGCUUAAAGGGCGCGUAGGCGGGUCCACCAGUCAGGGGUGAAAGCUCCCGGCCCAACCGGGAAAGUGCCUUUGAUACUGUGGAUCUCGAGGGAGGUAGGGGCACGCGGAACUUCCGGUGGAGCGGUGAAAUGCGUAGAUAUCGAGAGGAACACCUGCGGCGAAGGCGGGUUGCUGGGCUGAUACUGACGCUGAGGCGCGAAAGCCAGGGGAGCGAACGGG